AGUGGAUGGGGAGCAACCUAGUUGUGCGUGUGUAAAGGUAGUGCCAAGAAAAGCGAUGAUCAUGUUGAAAAUCAAUUCCCGGUACCCGAAACCGACACAGGUGGGCAAGUAGAGAAUACUAAGGGGCGCGAGGUAACUCUCUCCAAGGAACUCGGCAAAAUGACCCCGUAACUUAGGGAGAAGGGGUGCCACCGAGAGGUGGUCGCAGUGAAGAGGCCCAGGCGACUGUUUAGCAAAAACAUAGGUCUCUGCAAACUCGAAAGAGGAGGUAUAGGGGCUGACGCCUGCCCAGUGCCGGAAGGUUAAAGAAGUUGGUCAGUUUUAGGAUGAAGCUAGCGACUGAAGCCCCGGUGAACGGCGGCCGUAACUAUAACGGUCCUAAGGUAGCGAAAUUCCUUGUCGGGUAAGUUCCGACCCGCACGAAAGGCGUAACGAUCUGGGCGCUGUCUCGGAGAGAGGCUCGGCGAAAUAGGAUUGUCUGUGAAGAUACGGACUACCUGCACCUGGACAGAAAGACCCUAUGAAGCUUUACUGUAGCUUGGAAUUGUGUUCGGGCUUCCUGUGCGCAGGAUAGGUGGGAGGCGUAGAAGGUAUUCUUGUGGGGAUACUGGAGCCAACGGUGAGAUACCACUCUCAGGAGGCUAGAAUUCUAACUUAAUUAAGGACAGUUUCAGGUGGGUAGUUUGACUGGGGCGGUCGCCUCCAAAAGGGUAACGGAGGCGUACAAAGGUUCCCUCAGACUGGUUGGAAAUCAGUCGAAGAGUGCAAAGGCAGAAGGGAGCUUGACUGCGAGAAGUACAGUUCGAGCAGGGUGGAAACACGGUCUUAGUGAUCCGACGGUGCUGUGUGGAAGGGCCGUCGCUCAACGGAUAAAAGUUACUCUAGGAUAACAGGCUGAUCUCCCCCAAGAGUUCACAUCGACGGGGAGGUUUGGCACCUCGAUGUCGGCUCAUCGCAACCUGGGGCGGAAGUACGUCCCAAGGGUUGGGCUGUUCGCCCAUUAAAGCGGUACGUGAGCUGGGUUCAGAACGUCGUGAGACAGUUCGGUCCAUAUCCGAUGUAGGCGUGAGAAUAUUGAGAGGAGCCUUCCUUAGUACGAGAGGACCGGGAAGGACGCACCGCUGGUGUACCUGUUAUGAUGCCAAUUGUAAACGCAGGGUAGCCAAGUGCGGAGAGGAUAACCGCUGAAAGCAUCUAAGUGGGAAGCCCACCUCAAGAUGAGUAUUCUGGUGUAAGGUCACGGGAAGACGACCCGUAAAUAGGCACGAGGUGGAAGUGCAGAGAUGUAUGAAGCCGAAGUGUACUAAUAGACCGUCGGCUUGACC
RNAcentral lists this ribosomal RNA (1325 nucleotides) under metagenome. RNAcentral's name for it is "bacterial LSU rRNA". It matches the Rfam family "Bacterial large subunit ribosomal RNA", at positions 1561 to 2925 of the family's 2925-position model. The record is from RNAcentral.